RNAcentral lists this ribosomal RNA (2257 nucleotides) under Triticum aestivum (bread wheat). RNAcentral's name for it is "partial small subunit ribosomal RNA". Lineage: Eukaryota; Viridiplantae; Streptophyta; Magnoliopsida; Poales; Poaceae. The record is from RNAcentral.
GAUGCUAGCUACGGAGCACGGGUGUGUCGUCUAGCAAGAGGCGGCGGGAGGGUAGCUAGACGGCGGCUGGGGACGCCUCGAAGGGAGGGGUUAGGCUAAACUGCCUCUCUCACGGUCUAGGCCGGCCCCCUCGGCGGCAUCUCGGAGGUGCAGCCACCUCGUCGUGGAGGACGGUGCCCGCGGCGGCGGUGGAGAACGGAGUGCUGGGAAACGGCGCUGAGGCGGGGGUUCGCGGCGAGGGCGUGCGUUGGAAUUGGGAUAGGGCGGUACGGAGCGACGGAGCGGCGAACUCGGCGCGACUACCUCGGGCUCGUCACCACCGGCUGGGGCAGCGGCGGCGGCUCGGACACCUGCUCCUCUUCCUCUUCCUCCUCCUCUGCCUCCGCCGGCUCCUGCUCCUCCUGUGCGACGACCUGGCGCGCGUCGGACUAGAGUGCCCAGGGAAACGUGUACACGUCAAGCAGUUACCUGGUUACGGAUUAGAGGGGUUCCAACUACAAAGUGACCUGGGCCACUUCCUCAACUCGUCUCAUUAUAGACUCGCUUUUUUAACUCCCCGCACGAAACCAACACGAGAGUCGGUCCAAUAAAAUGCUCCCAACACACGUGACUUGGGGUAAAGAGACCUGGUUCCCUGCUACUUGUUCUACCCUUACUCCUCCUACGAUGAUUAGGCCUCAUCAUUAUAACCUAAUGUCCAGUACCCAAUCAUCAAUUGACGUCUUUAGUCUUAUAACCUAUCGUCAUUGAUUCCGGUAACCGUUAAAGAUAGUAUAUAGUAUUAAAUAAACACACUAAGGAAAUGGUUGAUGUACAAAGAUAAACAAAGGAUAUAAAACAAACAAGGACUUAUAAAAUACUUAACACAUAAAGAUAAAAUUAUGUAUUCUGAGAAAAAGUACGUUAAAUGAGUUACCGGAUAUACUCUUCGGGAUUUAUUUCGAUAAGGAGUAAACAUGCGAAAGAACGAAUAUAUCUAGUUUUAUACCUUAAGAGACGUCCAAUUGAUUAUGUACGUAGUUGAAACAUAGUAUUUCUAAAGUGGUAGGGUUCCAUUACCUUUAUUCAAGUGUUCUAAGAGUACAACUCCAGACAUGUUUCUCUUUGUUCCGUUACAGACACACGACCUUCCUCUUUGAGUGACGGUUUCGAUAUUAGGGACUACGAUUUCGGACGUACAAGUCUAGACGUCUCAAAUGAGUAUAAUGACAUACUUACUAAUUAUGUCUCCCUCGGGAAAACAGUCCAGUAAAUUAGUAAUUUAGUAUGCAUGUAAUAGAGUCCAUUGAAUGAUGAUGGAAACAAGCUUUUAUUCACGGCAAUUGAAUCAUGUGGAAACGUGAUUUUAACAUGAUUUAGGCACUGUGAAUAAAAUCCUGUCUCCCUCAUAAAGUAAAAGAUGGACUUGGUUCAACAAUAAAGUAAAGAUUCUCCGUUUCUCAAGGAGUACCAAUCAAACGGUGUAAAAUAUACAGAUAGAUACACGUAAUGCUUAAGUGAUAUACGUGGAAAUCAAGGGUCAAAACCGAGUGAAAGAACUACGUAGAGCCUACUCUCCUUUCCUUACCUAUUAGACUGUUCGUUACAAGCCCGUAUGGGAAUAUAAAUGCAGACUACUUUACGACGCCCACUUUUGAUUAGUUCUGACGACGGUACUCGUUUUCUCGUCUUUAAUGAAUACUCUUUUGUUAUUUUCUUAGAAGGCACUGAUGUAUGGUGCUGCUCAGUUUCUGCUACUUUCGUGAUGAGGUAACCACCACAAUCGUUCACCUCAGACCUCCCUCUUGUUGUGUUUCAUCCUUUAACUAAGGGAGCGGGAGCGAACGAAGUUGCUGGGGCGAGCAGAACCACCCCAGCUAAGGGGGUAGCGGGCUGAGUAGAGACUGCUCAUACCGCAAUCACCCAUGCGGGGCGGCAAGCAUACGAACCGCCCAGGGUCUUGUGGGCACUGCACAUACUCGAACUGAUCCCGCUCCCCGAACACGAGCACGAGCUCGAGUUGUUCUGCGUGAAGCUAGAGCAGUGGUUGAUGCUCGACCUGACACUCUGAGGUCUCGUCCGCCCCCGCUGCUUCUGCUUUCACCCCCGUCAAGCUCGAACAGCGACGGCCUCUGGGACCUCUCCACGCGCUUCUCUGGACCAAUCUAAACAACCGGUGGUGACCAUUUGACGUGAUUAUUGUUUAGCCUACAGUAGACAGUACAACGGCUAAGUUGGGACCUGCUACAACGCGCCGGGCGCCAGUACCUGCUACACG